CGGGGACUGCAGGCGCCCCGUCAGACGUCCUUUCGUCCAAGCACUGC
RNAcentral lists this non-coding RNA (47 nucleotides) under unclassified sequences. Its description in RNAcentral is "chromate-resist RNA". It matches the Rfam family "chrB-b RNA". The record is from RNAcentral.